UGGGGAAUAUUGGACAAUGGGGGCAACCCUGAUCCAGCAAUGCCGCGUGUGUGAAGAAGGUUUUCGGAUUGCAAAGCACUUUCGACGGGGACGAUGAUGACGGUACCCGUAGAAGAAGCCCCGGCUAACUUCGUGCCAGCAGCCGCGGUAAUACGAAGGGGGCUAGCGUUGCUCGGAAUGACUGGGCGUAAAGGGCGUGUAGGCGGUUUGUACAGUCAGAUGUGAAAUCCCCGGGCUUAACCUGGGAGCUGCAUUUGAUACGUGCAGACUAGAGUGUGAGAGAGGGUUGUGGAAUUCCCAGUGUAGAGGUGAAAUUCGUAGAUAUUGGGAAGAACACCGGUGGCGAAGGCGGCAACCUGGCUCAUAACUGACGCUGAGGCGCGAAAGCGUGGGGAGCAAACAGGAUUAGAUACCCUGGUAGUCCACGCUGUAAACGAUGUGUGCUAGAUGUUGGGUAACUUAGUUAUUCAGUGUCGCAGUUAACGCGUUAAGCACACCGCCUGGGGAGUACGGCCGCAAGGUUGAAACUCUAAAGUGAAUUGACGGGGUC
This 550-nucleotide ribosomal RNA is filed under the name uncultured bacterium. RNAcentral's name for it is "partial 16S ribosomal RNA". It matches the Rfam family "Bacterial small subunit ribosomal RNA", at positions 355 to 920 of the family's 1533-position model. The record is from RNAcentral.